GCCAUGGUGACUUGCAAGCAACUCACUGCACUUAGGCACUGGACUACCUGAAUUUUUAAUUCAAUGACGGAAGGCUGCUGGGUGUAGUCAAGUACUUGACUUGUCGGUGCGUGUGUCAAGAUGGGAUUGACCACUCCAGUUUAGGAGCUGUGUACAGUCGUGUUUUAAUUUAGCAAAAUUUUGGCCAGGGUAGUCCUUGUGAGGAGUCACAGGACUGUUUGAGUUGAGCAUGAUUCGGAUGAUCUGAUCAGGGUUGACAGUUUAACCCUGAGUCA
Molecule: long non-coding RNA, 275 nt
Filed under: Elaeis guineensis (African oil palm)
Lineage: Eukaryota; Viridiplantae; Streptophyta; Magnoliopsida; Arecales; Arecaceae
Description: long non-coding RNA (EGUI_LNC080434)
Source: RNAcentral